CUAAAGACUCGUGAAGCUGACCGGUACUAAUAAGCCGAUAACUUACACUACA
Molecule: ribosomal RNA, 52 nt
Filed under: Arthrobacter glacialis
Lineage: Bacteria; Bacillati; Actinomycetota; Actinomycetes; Micrococcales; Micrococcaceae
Description: partial 23S ribosomal RNA
Source: RNAcentral